AUACUUACCUGGCAGGGGAGAUUUCAUGAUCAUGAAGGUGGUUUUCCCAGAGUGAGACUCAUCCAUUGUACUCCAGAUGUGCUGUCCCCUGUGCUGUCUUCUACUAUAUGUUUUAUAACUGCUGGGACCUGCAUUUGUGCUUUCCCCUA
Molecule: small nuclear RNA, 149 nt
Organism: Fukomys damarensis (Damara mole-rat)
Lineage: Eukaryota; Metazoa; Chordata; Mammalia; Rodentia; Bathyergidae
Gene: U1
Rfam family: U1 spliceosomal RNA
About the family: U1 is a small nuclear RNA (snRNA) component of the spliceosome (involved in pre-mRNA splicing). Its 5' end forms complementary base pairs with the 5' splice junction, thus defining the 5' donor site of an intron.
Source: Ensembl